RNAcentral lists this ribosomal RNA (253 nucleotides) under uncultured bacterium. Its description in RNAcentral is "partial 16S ribosomal RNA". It matches the Rfam family "Bacterial small subunit ribosomal RNA", at positions 524 to 776 of the family's 1533-position model. The record is from RNAcentral.
UACAGAGGUGGCAAGCGUUGUUCGGAAUUACUGGGCGUAAAGGGCGCGUAGGCGGCCUUCUAAGUCAGAGGUGAAAUCCCCCGGCUUAACCUGGGAACUGCGUCUGAUACUGGGAGGCUUGAGUAUGGGAGAGGGAUGUAGAAUUCCAGGUGUAGCGGUGAAAUGCGUAGAUAUCUGGAGGAAUACCGGUGGCGAAGGCGGCAUCCUGGACCAUAACUGACGCUGAGGCGCGAAAGCUAGGGGAGCAAACGGG